GCUAAUUGUAGUCCGUCACGAUAUCAACCUUUUAAUUUGAACACAACUGGUUACAGUGAGUGUGCCUAUCGCAAAUCACUUUGUGAAAGCGAAGGUCAGACAACGUUUGAAAAUGGCCCCACAAGUUCCGACAGGACAUGUACUUGUCGAGCCGGAGAAGGAUAUAAGUUUGUUAAGGAACCAAGAAACGGAUGUUACUGCAGUCCGACAAAUGAAGAUUGUUCCUGCUAUAAGAGCAUUGAUCUAAGUAGCAACAACUCAAUUGGAUGGGAAGAUUUUGAAUGCCGUAACAGAAAAGAUAUGACACAGAGACGUUUGAAUCGAGAUAAGAUCAAGACAUCAAAGGAAUUUAACAGCUUUCCAUUCAACAAUUAUAAAUAUAACAUAGCGCGUACUC
Molecule: long non-coding RNA, 397 nt
Organism: Mytilus californianus (California mussel)
Lineage: Eukaryota; Metazoa; Mollusca; Bivalvia; Mytilida; Mytilidae
Exons: 3
Source: RefSeq, a predicted model, not a curated record